Molecule: ribosomal RNA, 423 nt
Filed under: uncultured archaeon
Lineage: Archaea
Description: bacterial SSU rRNA
Rfam family: Archaeal small subunit ribosomal RNA
Source: RNAcentral
CCUAUGGGGGGCAGCAGGCGCGAAACCUCCUCAAUACACUAACGUGUGAAGGGGUUACCUCGAGUGCCACCUGAAGAAGGUGGCUUUUCCGUGGUCUAAAAAGCCUAGGGAAUAAGAGGGGGGCAAGACUGGUGUCAGCCGCCGCGGUAACACCAGCCCCUCGAGUGGUGUGGAUGAUUAUUUGGCCUAAAGCGUCCGUAGCCGGCCGGGUAAGUUUCCCGUUAAAUCCAACGUCUCAAGCGUUGGACUGCGGGAAAUACUGCCUGGCUAGAGAGUGGGAGAGGUCAGCGGUAUUCUGGGGGUAGGGGCGAAAUCCUUUGAUCCCCGGAGGACCACCAGUGGCGAAGGCUGCUGACUAGAACACGUCUGACGGUCAGGGACGAAAGCUGGGGUAGCGAACCGGAUUAGAUACCCGCGUAGUCC